AGAAUGAUCGCAUACAGACAAACACAAAAUUUGUUUGUACCGUUUGUCAAUUUUUUCAAGUGUGUGAAGUGUUAAAGCCAGGCGUAGGAAAAUAAUUUGUUACUUAGUGUCACCAUUGGCAUUGUGACAGAACAAAAAAAAAAUUGCCAUUAAUAUUCCGGCAUAUGGCCAACUAUACGGAACAAAGCGUAAAUCCCACGAGCUGUCGAUUCAGUCUAAAUGGCCUAAUAUACAAAUUUGGCUAACCGUUUGUUUAUACCCAAUUCACCCUUCCGGAAAGAACGCAGCCUUGGCUAUAGAGCCUCGUUUCUGUGAUAUGAUACAUUUGGUUCAGAGUCCUUUAUUUUGUUCAGAUGGACACAUUUAUGCAACCAUACAGUUAUAUCAGACAGUAAAUAUGAAAGCUUAGUUAUUGUGUCUACAUUGGCAUCACCUUAGGUUGGAGCUUGACAACUGGACUCUGUAGCUUA
Paramuricea clavata is the source of this 470-nucleotide non-coding RNA. The record is from the annotation of a GenBank genome assembly. NCBI's taxonomy places the organism in Eukaryota, Metazoa, Cnidaria, Anthozoa, Malacalcyonacea, Plexauridae.